AUGGGGUAAGAAGGGAAAAACAUUGAAGACUUGCAAUGGCCACUGAAGACACAGGGUGGCGACCAUUAGGGAGAUAUGAACCUGUUGUGUUAUUCUUUGGAAGACCUUUUAGACAUUUUUCAACACUAUCUGCCCUUUCAGGGCAUCUUUCAGUUGCCUGGGCCAUUUACUGAUAUCUUAAUGGAGUUGCUGCUAAGCUAAGCAUCAUAAUAGCUUAUAUAGGCACCACCAACUGAGAAACCACCACAACAAAAUUGAUCCUGUUUUCUCUCUCGCAAUUCCCAUUAUGAUCUUAUUUCCUUGGACCUCUAGAAUUUGCAUAUCUCUGCUUCAUGCAUAACUACGGCAAAUUAUUCUUGUAAAGUAAUCAGUUAAUAUGGGUAAAGCAUUUAGUACUUCUGUCAUAUUCGACACCAUGUAUGUGUUUUUUUCAAUAACUGAAUGAAUGACUAAACUUCUAAUCUGACAUACAUACAUAAGUUGUACUGUUGAAAGGAGAUGGUGAUGAGAGAAAAGGAAAGCCCGUAGUGAUUUAUGGAAUCACCAUUUGUAAUUUCUUGUCAUAAGGGAAUAUAUCUUCUUACUCCUUUUAAUUUUAGUAUGAAG
RNAcentral lists this long non-coding RNA (606 nucleotides) under Homo sapiens (human). Its description in RNAcentral is "HSALNT0303901". The record is from RNAcentral. Lineage: Eukaryota; Metazoa; Chordata; Mammalia; Primates; Hominidae.